CAGCCGCCGCGGUAAUACAGAGGAUGCAAGCGUUAUCCGGAAUGAUUGGGCGUAAAGCGUCUGUAGGUGGCUUUUCAAGUCCGCCAUCAAAUCCCAAGGCUCAACCCUGGACAGGCGGUGGAAAAUACCAAGCUGGAGUACGGUAGGGGCAGAGGGAAUUUCCGGUGGAGCGGUGAAAUGCGUUGAGGUUGGAAAGAACACCAACGGUGAAAGCACUCUGCUGGGCCGACACUGACACUGAGAGACGAAAGCUAGGGGAGCAAAUGGGAUUAGAUACCCGGGUAGUCCCUGUCUCUUAUAC
RNAcentral lists this ribosomal RNA (301 nucleotides) under uncultured bacterium. RNAcentral describes it as "partial 16S ribosomal RNA". It matches the Rfam family "Bacterial small subunit ribosomal RNA", at positions 509 to 807 of the family's 1533-position model. The record is from RNAcentral.